AAGUCGUAACAAGGUUUUCGUAGGUGAACCUGCGGAAGGAUCAUUAGUGAAGAAUUAUAGGGUGCUUUCAUUAGGCCCGUCUACACUUAAUUUACACACUGUGCACUUGUCUUUAUAUGCUUGCUUGAAGCUUCAUUGCCGAUAGCGAGUAUUAUAUUAACACUUGUUUUAUACAUGAGUUGAGGAUGUAAUCAUUUUGAUUAAACGAAAGUACAACUUUCAGCAACGGAUGUCUUGGCUCUC
RNAcentral lists this unclassified non-coding RNA (243 nucleotides) under Kondoa phyllada. RNAcentral describes it as "partial internal transcribed spacer region". The stretch from base 1 to 46 matches the Rfam family "Eukaryotic small subunit ribosomal RNA", at positions 1786 to 1831 of the family's 1831-position model. Lineage: Eukaryota; Fungi; Basidiomycota; Agaricostilbomycetes; Agaricostilbales; Kondoaceae. The record is from RNAcentral.